AGAGUUUGAUCAUGGCUCAGAUUGAACGCUGGCGGCAGGCCUAACACAUGCAAGUCGAGCGGUAACACAGAGAGCUUGCUCUCGGGUGACGAGCGGCGGACGGGUGAGUAAUGUCUGGGAAACUGCCUGAUGGAGGGGGAUAACUACUGGAAACGGUAGCUAAUACCGCAUAACGUCGCAAGACCAAAGUGGGGGACCUUCGGGCCUCAUGCCAUCAGAUGUGCCCAGAUGGGAUUAGCUAGUAGGUGGGGUAAUGGCUCACCUAGGCGACGAUCCCUAGCUGGUCUGAGAGGAUGACCAGCCACACUGGAACUGAGACACGGUCCAGACUCCUACGGGAGGCAGCAGUGGGGAAUAUUGCACAAUGGGCGCAAGCCUGAUGCAGCCAUGCCGCGUGUAUGAAGAAGGCCUUCGGGUUGUAAAGUACUUUCAGCGAGGAGGAAGGCGUUAAGGUUAAUAACCUUGGCGAUUGACGUUACUCGCAGAAGAAGCACCGGCUAACUCCGUGCCAGCAGCCGCGGUAAUACGGAGGGUGCAAGCGUUAAUCGGAAUUACUGGGCGUAAAGCGCACGCAGGCGGUCUGUCAAGUCGGAUGUGAAAUCCCCGGGCUCAACCUGGGAACUGCAUUCGAAACUGGCAGGCUAGAGUCUUGUAGAGGGGGGUAGAAUUCCAGGUGUAGCGGUGAAAUGCGUAGAGAUCUGGAGGAAUACCGGUGGCGAAGGCGGCCCCCUGGACAAAGACUGACGCUCAGGUGCGAAAGCGUGGGGAGCAAACAGGAUUAGAUACCCUGGUAGUCCACGCCGUAAACGAUGUCGACUUGGAGGUUGUGCCCUUGAGGCGUGGCUUCCGGAGCUAACGCGUUAAGUCGACCGCCUGGGGAGUACGGCCGCAAGGUUAAAACUCAAAUGAAUUGACGGGGGCCCGCACAAGCGGUGGAGCAUGUGGUUUAAUUCGAUGCAACGCGAAGAACCUUACCUACUCUUGACAUCCAGAGAACUUAGCAGAGAUGCUUUGGUGCCUUCGGGAACUCUGAGACAGGUGCUGCAUGGCUGUCGUCAGCUCGUGUUGUGAAAUGUUGGGUUAAGUCCCGCAACGAGCGCAACCCUUAUCCUUUGUUGCCAGCGAUUCGGUCGGGAACUCAAAGGAGACUGCCAGUGAUAAACUGGAGGAAGGUGGGGAUGACGUCAAGUCAUCAUGGCCCUUACGAGUAGGGCUACACACGUGCUACAAUGGCAUAUACAAAGAGAAGCGACCUCGCGAGAGCAAGCGGACCUCAUAAAGUAUGUCGUAGUCCGGAUUGGAGUCUGCAACUCGACUCCAUGAAGUCGGAAUCGCUAGUAAUCGUAGAUCAGAAUGCUACGGUGAAUACGUUCCCGGGCCUUGUACACACCGCCCGUCACACCAUGGGAGUGGGUUGCAAAAGAAGUAGGUAGCUUAACCUUCGGGAGGGCGCUUACCACUUUGUGAUUCAUGACUGGGGUGAAGUCGUAACAAGGUAACCGUAGGGGAACCUGCGGUUGGAUCACCU
RNAcentral lists this ribosomal RNA (1528 nucleotides) under Klebsiella aerogenes. Its description in RNAcentral is "bacterial SSU rRNA". It matches the Rfam family "Bacterial small subunit ribosomal RNA". RNAcentral also lists the same sequence under 4 other names. The record is from RNAcentral. Lineage: Bacteria; Pseudomonadati; Pseudomonadota; Gammaproteobacteria; Enterobacterales; Enterobacteriaceae.